GUGUGUGAGGUCGACCAGGAGAAAGCUCAGGGAGCUCAAACCCUAACUUCCACAACUUGAUCAAAUUGAAGCCCAAAUCAAGAGCCAAAUCACUGCAUGAACACAAAUUCGUGAUCACCUAAUCAUGGGGAUUACAAGUUUGACGCGUCACAAGCUAGGUGGAAGCUUGGAGUGAAAGCGGGUCAAACAAGUUAAGCAUGGAAGAAAAGCGUAGCUCGGAUGCAAGGUAAGUGAAACUUACAUAAUUGUGUAGAUUACUUGUUCAUUCUAUACGUUAUAGAUGCAAUAAUGCUAAUAUUGAAAAUAUGGAUUUCCGACGUGAUUGAUACGAGUCGGAACAUAUAAAGAUGUUAAAAACCAUGUUUAUGGCAAAAAGGGGAUUCGGUAAUGAAAUCCGGGACGGGAUGGAUGUAUGAAUUAGAAGUCAAAAACCAUGUUUUUGAUUUAAUAGGCAACGUUGGGCAUAUAGGCCGAACGGGUCAAAUGGUGGUGAUAACACUAUUUGACAAUAUCGACUAAUGCGAUUGUCAAGUCUUGUGUUAACAGGAGCGAUUAGCGAUUCAGUUAAUUUCGCCCACACUAAGUGUGAUGAUAAAAGCAAGGUAUAAAUUGGGUCUAUAUGUUGACCCUAGCCAGGUACGCAUGCAUACGAUUAUAGUUAACAUACAAACUUGGUCAAUUAGGUAGUGAAAGCCCCUCGUAGUAAAUGAGGGGCUAAUGUCGACUAAAAUGCCCUUGAAGGGUAAAUUGAGCAAACAACUUAUAAAGGUUGUUUAGGAACUUAUCUUACGAUCUUGUAACCUUUAGACGCGCAUGAAAGUUGUAGACAUAAACUUUCAAGAGUUAAAUGCUUAAAUUGUGUGUUGCCGCAAAAUAACACAUCCGUAGGAUUAAAAUCGGAAUAAAUAGUCCAUUUCGUUAAAUCCACCACAUUCAUAGUUGUGGUGGAAGACUAGCUAAUAACAAAUUGGUGGAACUAUGAGGUACAUGAGAAAUGAGCACCGUUCGUGCUAAAAUGGUCGUAAGUACCCUUAACGGGUCAAAAUAAGAUUUUAAACGAAAACGGGUAAAUAAUUGUGUAGAAACCCGUGUUCAGUACUUAAUAUGAUUGACAAUAUUAGAAAUUAAGGGUUCAUGAUGAAUGGAGGUCAAACAAACAUGUUUGUUUGAUAAUCACAUAGUCGGGUCGAAAAUUGUUGAAAAGAUAAUAAGCCGAAGGCUUAAAAGUCUCAAUUUUAUUUAAUCCGGAUGUCAGAUCUUAACUCCAUAUAAUGGAGAAUUA
RNAcentral lists this long non-coding RNA (1282 nucleotides) under Helianthus annuus (common sunflower). Its description in RNAcentral is "hypothetical non coding rna". The record is from RNAcentral. Lineage: Eukaryota; Viridiplantae; Streptophyta; Magnoliopsida; Asterales; Asteraceae.